Molecule: long non-coding RNA, 524 nt
Organism: Amphiprion ocellaris (clown anemonefish)
Lineage: Eukaryota; Metazoa; Chordata; Actinopteri; Pomacentridae
Source: Ensembl
CCGAUUUACACGUAGAAACUUUGUUCAGGAAGAUUUCUCAGUAGCUCAGAGGACAGGCUUUUUACACAGCCUUGUAAGAGAAUGUCUGUCAAUGCUGGAGAGCGUUUGUGAUGCUGAAGCAGUGACCAGUUUUUCUGUUUCUUCUCUGGAGAUGCACAAUGAGGGACGUCUGCAGCGACUGAGAAAGAGUCUCACCACAUCCUGACAUGAGGAAAAAGACUUUAUUGAAGACUACAAUGAGAAAAACUAUCAGACAGCAGAUGGCUGCAUUCAAGAGAAGAAGACCAUCAAACAUCCAUGUCAGCUGAUGGAGGUCCAAGAGUCUCACCAAACAAACAACCUACAGAGUGAAGACCUGGAAUCUGAUUGGACGGCCUCCUAUUCAGCCACUUUAGGCUGUUAGAUUGUUCCAGAUAAGACAAGUACAAGAUACUUCAGAGCCGUUCUACCACGAGCCUGACAGGAAGAACUCCAACAGCUACUGAAUGUUCCUGUGGUUCCCUCAAGGCUACAGGAGGAGCCCU